UACGUAGGGUGCGAGCGUUAUCCGGAAUCAUUGGGCGUAAAGAGCUCGUAGGCGGUUCAACAAGUCGGCUGUGAAAGUCCGGGGCUCAACCCCGGAAUUGCAGUCGAUACUGUUGUGACUUGAGUCCGGUAGAGGAGAAUGGAAUUCCUAGUGUAGCGGUGAAAUGCGUAGAUAUUAGGAGGAACACCAGUGGCGAAGGCGGCUUUCUGGACAGUAACUGACGCUGAGGCGCGAAAGCGUGGGGAGCAAACAGGAUUAGAUACCCUGGUA
This 270-nucleotide ribosomal RNA is filed under the name uncultured prokaryote. Its description in RNAcentral is "partial 16S ribosomal RNA". It matches the Rfam family "Bacterial small subunit ribosomal RNA", at positions 524 to 792 of the family's 1533-position model. The record is from RNAcentral.